Molecule: ribosomal RNA, 468 nt
Filed under: uncultured bacterium
Lineage: Bacteria
Description: partial 16S ribosomal RNA
Rfam family: Bacterial small subunit ribosomal RNA
Source: RNAcentral
GAUGAACGCUGGCGGCGUGCUUAACACAUGCAAGUCGAACGGAAAGGCCGAAGCUUGCUUCGGUACUCGAGUGGCGAACGGGUGAGUAACACGUGGGUGAUCUGCCCUGUACUUCGGGGUAAGCUUGGGAAACUGGGUCUAAUACCGGAUAUGACGAUCUCUUGGAUGGGGUUGUGGAAAGCUUUUGCGGUAUGGGAUGAGCUCGCGGCCUAUCAGCUUGUUGGUGGGGUAAUGGCCUACCAAGGCGUCGACGGGUAGCCGGCCUGAGAGGGUGUACGGCCACAUUGGGACUGAGAUACGGCCCAGACUCCUACGGGAGGCAGCAGUGGGGAAUAUUGCACAAUGGGCGCAAGCCUGAUGCAGCGACGCCGCGUGGGGGAUGACGGCCUUCGGGUUGUAAACUCCUUUCGCAAUCGACGAAGCCUUUUGGUGACGGUAGGUUGAGAAGAAGCACCGGCUAACUACGUG